Molecule: ribosomal RNA, 329 nt
Filed under: uncultured eukaryote
Lineage: Eukaryota
Description: partial 18S ribosomal RNA
Rfam family: Eukaryotic small subunit ribosomal RNA
Source: RNAcentral
CCCUUAGAUGUCCUGGGCCGCACGCGCGCUGCACUGAGUGUCUGAGAUACGAGUCUGCCUGGUCCGGCAAGGUCUAGGUAAUCGCUAAAAGACACAUCAUGCUUGGGAUAGAUUAUUGCAAAUAUUAAUCUUGAACGAGGAAUUCCUAGUAAGCGCAAGUCAACAGCUUGCGUUUAUUACGUCCCUGCCCUUUGUACACACCGCCCGUCGCUACUACUGAUUGGAUGUUUAAGCGAGGUUCUCGAACUGCUAGCGACUUAGCUUCGGUGAGGUCGCAGUGUGGGAAGUGAACCUAGCUUUGGUGUCUAGAGGAAGUAAAAGUCGUAACA